GCUCAGCGUUCAUAGAUGACUGACGUGCGGUGGUCUGCUGUGCAUAUCAUGCGGUUAGGUUAAUCAUGUGUUAUCUCCUAGUAAACAAGCUCUUGGUCGGUUGGACAGGAUCACUACUGUGCCCUAGAAAAUUGGGACGCUUGUUUUUACUGUCGUGUUGUUGAGUGUCAUCGGAGACAGAAGACAGGCGACGGCGUGUGAAUCGAACGGCGUGCGGUUGGAGGGGGUGCAGACGCAGGAGGCGCGAAUUCGUCACACGAGCAGCGCCCUCUACAGGAUAAUCGUGGCCGGGGAGUCGAACCACGCCCUUCUGCUGCGACCAGGUGGUGGGGGAGCUGGUGGUACCGACACCCUCGCGCUGGGGUACCCUAGUGCUGACUCUGACGGUUGCGUGCGUGUGCACACAUUCCGAGUUCCCCCAACGAUGGGUGGUGGGGGAGGUCAGUCCGUGAUGCUGGAAUCCCCCCGCGGGGGUCACUUCGUGAGCGCCCUCUCAGGAGCAC
Molecule: long non-coding RNA, 503 nt
Organism: Hyalella azteca
Lineage: Eukaryota; Metazoa; Arthropoda; Malacostraca; Amphipoda; Hyalellidae
Exons: 4
Source: RefSeq, a predicted model, not a curated record